AGGAAGCGAACGAAGCUAGUGAACGCUGCGUCAUACUUUCCAACUUGCUUGCAAUUUGGACGCUGUGGCCAGCCCAGUUGGGCUUGACUGCGUCUGGUGAAAACUGGCAACGAAAAGACUCCAUUUUCAACCGCCAACCCUGCACCAGUCGCACUUGAGCUGAACGAAAUAGAUUUGUUUGCCCCGUCUAGAAACACGGACCAAGGAGUCUAACAUAUGUGCGAGUACUGGGGCAACACACCUCGGUGCGCAAUGAAAGUGUCAGAGGCUGGAAUGUCGUAACAAACAUUGCACAGUCCGCCGGCCUCCAUCCCUCGGGAAAAUGGUCUGAGUGUGAGCAUACAUGUUGGGACCCGAAAGAUGGUGAACUAUGCUUGAGUAGGGUGAAGCCAGGGGAAACUUUGGUGAAGGCUCGCAGCGAUUCUGACGUGCAAAUCGAUCGUCAAACUUGAGUAUAGGGGCGAAAGACUAAUCGAACUAUCUAGUAGCUGGUUCCCUCCGAAAUUUCCCUUAGGAUAGCUGCAAUCGAACAAGCCAKUUUUGUCA
This 546-nucleotide ribosomal RNA is filed under the name Pinnularia borealis complex sp. RNAcentral's name for it is "partial 28S ribosomal RNA". The record is from RNAcentral. Lineage: Eukaryota; Bacillariophyta; Bacillariophyceae; Sellaphorales; Pinnulariaceae.